This 460-nucleotide ribosomal RNA is filed under the name uncultured bacterium. RNAcentral describes it as "partial 16S ribosomal RNA". It matches the Rfam family "Bacterial small subunit ribosomal RNA", at positions 338 to 795 of the family's 1533-position model. The record is from RNAcentral.
CCUACGGGAGGCAGCAGUGAGGAAUAUUGGUCAAUGGACGCAAGCCUGAACCAGCCAUGCCGCGUGAGGGAAGACGGCUCUAUGGAUUGUAAACCUCUUUUGUAAGGGGGUAAACGGUGGUACGCGUCUCAGUCUGUAUGUACCUUACGAAUAAGGAUCGGCUAACUCCGUGCCAGCAGCCGCGGUAAUACGGAGGAUUCGAGCGUUAUCCGGAUUUAUUGGGUUUAAAGGGAGCGUAGGCGGGUUGUUAAGUCAGUGGUGAAAGUUUGUGGCUCAACCGUACAAUUGCAAUUGAUACUGGGAGUCUUGAGUAUAGUUGAGGUAGGCGGAAUUCGUGGUGUAGCGGUGAAAUGCUUAGAUAUCACGAAGAACUCCGAUUGCGAAGGCAGCUUACUAAGCUACGACUGACGCUGAUGCACGAAAGCGUGGGUAUCAAACAGGAUUAGAUACCCGAGUAGUC